CACCCUUGUCCUUAUUUGCCAGCGGGUCAAGCCGGGAACUCUAGGGAGACUGCCGGUGACAAACCGGAGGAAGGUGGGGAUGACGUCAAGUCAUCAUGGCCCUCACGGGGUGGGCUACAAACGUGCUACAAUGGGCGGCACAGAGGGCUGCGAACCAGCAAUGGCAAGCGAAUCCCAAAAAACCGCUCGUAGUCCGGAUAGGAGUCUGCAACUCGACUCCUUGAAGUCGGAAUCGCUAGUAAUCGCGAAUCAGAAUGUCGCGGUGAAUACGUUCCCGGGCCUUGUACACA
RNAcentral lists this ribosomal RNA (290 nucleotides) under uncultured bacterium. RNAcentral describes it as "partial 16S ribosomal RNA". It matches the Rfam family "Bacterial small subunit ribosomal RNA", at positions 1098 to 1389 of the family's 1533-position model. The record is from RNAcentral.